Molecule: ribosomal RNA, 326 nt
Filed under: uncultured Bacteroidota bacterium
Lineage: Bacteria; Pseudomonadati; Bacteroidota
Description: bacterial SSU rRNA
Rfam family: Bacterial small subunit ribosomal RNA
Source: RNAcentral
GAUUAACGCUAGCGGCAGGCCUAAUACAUGCAAGUCGAACGGCAGCGGGUCCAGCAAUGGAUGCCGGCGAGUGGCGCACGGGUGCGUAACGCGUAUGCAACCUACCUUUGACUGGGGGAUAGCCCCGAGAAAUCGGGAUUAAUACCCCAUAAUAUUAUGAAGUGGCAUCUCUUUAUAAUUAAAGCUCCGGCGGUCUUAGAUGGGCAUGCGUGACAUUAGCUUGUUGGUGAGGUAACGGCUCACCAAGGCGACGAUGUCUAGGGGUUCUGAGAGGAUUUUCCCCCACACUGGUACUGAGACACGGACCAGACUCCUACGGGAGGCAG